CGGGGGGAGCAAGCGUUGUUCGGAUUUACUGGGCGUAAAGGGCGGGUAGGCGGCCACCGCAAGUCAGUUGUGAAAUCUCCGGGCUUAACCCGGAAAGGUCAACUGAUACUGCGGGGCUAGAGUGCAGAAGGGGCAACUGGAAUUCUCGGUGUAGCGGUGAAAUGCGUAGAUAUCGAGAGGAACACCUGCGGCGAAGGCGGGUUGCUGGGCUGACACUGACGCUGAACUGCGAAAGCUAGGGGAGCGAACGGGAUUAGAUACCCCGGUAGUCCUAGCCUUAAACGAUGAAUGCUAGGUGUUGAGAUUUUCUCAGUACCGAAGCUAACGCGAUAAGCACUCCGCCUGGGAAUUACGGCCGCAAGGCUA
RNAcentral lists this ribosomal RNA (366 nucleotides) under uncultured organism. RNAcentral describes it as "bacterial SSU rRNA". It matches the Rfam family "Bacterial small subunit ribosomal RNA", at positions 526 to 896 of the family's 1533-position model. The record is from RNAcentral.